AACGCUUCUUUUUCCACCGGAGCUUGCUCCACCGGAAAAAGAGGAGUGGCGAACGGGUGAGUAACACGUGGGUAACCUGCCCAUCAGAAGGGGAUAACACUUGGAAACAGGUGCUAAUACCGUAUAACAAUCAAAACCGCAUGGUUUUGAUUUGAAAGGCGCUUUCGGGUGUCGCUGAUGGAUGGACCCGCGGUGCAUUAGCUAGUUGGUGAGGUAACGGCUCACCAAGGCCACGAUGCAUAGCCGACCUGAGAGGGUGAUCGGCCACAUUGGGACUGAGACACGGCCCAAACUCCUACGGGAGGCAGCAGUAGGGAAUCUUCGGCAAUGGACGAAAGUCUGACCGAGCAACGCCGCGUGAGUGAAGAAGGUUUUCGGAUCGUAAAACUCUGUUGUUAGAGAAGAACAAGGAUGAGAGUAACUGUUCAUCCCUUGACGGUAUCUAACCAGAAAGCCACGGCUAACUACGUGCCAGCAGCCGCGGUAAUACGUAGGUGGCAAGCGUUGUCCGGAUUUAUUGGGCGUAAAGCGAGCGCAGGCGGUUUCUUAAGUCUGAUGUGAAAGCCCCCGGCUCAACCGGGGAGGGUCAUUGGAAACUGGGAGACUUGAGUGCAGAAGAGGAGAGUGGAAUUCCAUGUGUAGCGGUGAAAUGCGUAGAUAUAUGGAGGAACACCAGUGGCGAAGGCGGCUCUCUGGUCUGUAACUGACGCUGANGCUCGAAAGCGUGGGGAGCAAACAGGAUUAGAUACCCUGGUAGUCCACGCCGUAAACGAUGAGUGCUAAGUGUUGGAGGGUUUCCGCCCUUCAGUGCUGCAGCUAACGCAUUAAGCACUCCG
This 836-nucleotide ribosomal RNA is filed under the name Enterococcus faecium. Its description in RNAcentral is "bacterial SSU rRNA". It matches the Rfam family "Bacterial small subunit ribosomal RNA", at positions 65 to 871 of the family's 1533-position model. Lineage: Bacteria; Bacillati; Bacillota; Bacilli; Lactobacillales; Enterococcaceae. The record is from RNAcentral.